This is a long non-coding RNA of Pelobates fuscus (common spadefoot toad), 1562 nucleotides long. RefSeq lists it as uncharacterized. The transcript has 3 exons. The record is from RefSeq and is a predicted model, not a curated record. Lineage: Eukaryota; Metazoa; Chordata; Amphibia; Anura; Pelobatidae.
GUUGUGUUUUUUUUUUUUUUCAUUAUAUAAGGAAUUUAAAAUCAUAACACAAUUGUGGACUGGUGUAGCAGUAACAGUGUUGAUGAACAGAGAGGAAUGUUAGACUCUUAGACUUUUGUUUUUUCAUUUUAAUUUUACUUUACUUUUUGUUUUAUUUUAUUGUUUUAUUAAUUGGGUGGAUUGCAGUUGUCGUACGUUCAUAUAUCAUACGCUGGCAAGCCAUCUUUGUAGCUGCAGUAAAACAUAAGAAAGAUAGUCUAGUGUCUUGGAUGAUGUUGUGAGCUGGAAAUGCAGUACGUUCUUUGCUUUGGAAGAACGAGCUUGCCAAAUAUGUGACGGUCUGCUAGGUGUGACGGUCUUCUGUUUGAGCCCACUUUUGUCUUCUUUCAGUUCCUUCAGGUCCCCUUAAAAUAGACAAUUGCCAGACAAAUAUAGAUGACCAGUAGCGAUAAGCGAGACUUAAGAGAGGCAACAAGCAGCAGUCCGACAGCAAAAAGAUCAUUAACAAAGUAAAUGUGCAGAUGUGCUAAUAAUAACUAAUUAAUAUCUGCUGUUGCCUUUUGGGGGCGGCUCAUAUGUUCUAUUAAACCUCCUCUAAAAAAAACAAAAACAAACAUCCUGUUGUGCAAAAAACAAAUAUCGUAUAAAAUAUAAGUGAAAUAAAUACAAAUAUUUUGUGUAUAUCAGAAAGACAUUUAAGUGUAUUCAAUGCGCCAAAGGUUUAAGGUUCAUACCGAUAUCUUAAAGCAAUCAGGGUAUCUGUAUGAGUAAAGAUUACCUUUGGUCCAGUAUGAUUACAGUUACUUUCUCUAAUACCUUAUGCCGGCAUCAUAACCUUUGUUUCAGUUGUGUCUGGUUGUAUACACAGUUUUAACUGUAGUCUAUAUUUUGGCUGUGUACGGCUUUAACAAUGCUCCAACUUCACAUGUAGAUUGCAUGCUUCCACUUCUUACACAGCGUAUGGAUCUCAAUAUUGUGCAUUUAAUAUCAGUCAUUAACACCAAAUGAUGGAACUGAUUUGUACUAAUUGUUCUAACUUAUUUUAACAAAUUAACUGUCAAGUGACAAUUUGACAUAGACUUUGUCUCAUUGUGUUGGAUUCUCAGCUGCCAUUAGGAUGUAGACCUUCGAUCAGUACGUGAACUUGUUUACGUGGGUUUUGUUUAUUAACAGGCAAACCAGUGUUUGUGUUUUGCUUUUUAUUUGUUUGUAAAAGCUGUCUGGUUGUAUUUUCCUAAGGGUUUUCAUCGUGCCGUGGGGGGCCUCCAUAGUUACUCUCAAUGAACGCGAUAAUGCCUUUUUCCCACAGCUGUCUCUUGACGGCCAUAGCUCCUCCUUUUGUCAGGUUUUGUCAAGCAGAGAUAAAAUACAUAGUCCCUACGUUGUCCUAUGAAAUUCCAACACCGUAUUUAUGAGCAUUUCAUAAGAUUUUAUCUCUUGUUAAAUGCUUAUAUUUGGGCGACAGGAGGGGGUGACGGAGCCUCAAAAACUGGAAACUGUGGGGCACGCAAAACCAAAUUGCAAAAUGUAGAACAUAAUAAUGAGUUCCAGAAUUAACAUCA